AUUUAGGUAGCUUAUAAAUUAGAGUAUAACUUUGAAGGUGUUAUGGAAAUCUUUAGAUUCUUAGAUG
This 67-nucleotide transfer RNA is filed under the name Xystodesmus sp. YD-2016. Its description in RNAcentral is "tRNA-Phe". Lineage: Eukaryota; Metazoa; Arthropoda; Diplopoda; Polydesmida; Xystodesmidae. The record is from RNAcentral.